AAAGUAGGACCUCUGUCCUUUUUUCCAUAAAGAAUAUUUUUUUCUUCUUUACCAGGUGGUGGACACUACCAACAGGGAGCGGAUCAUGUCUGAAUCCGGCUUUCCCUUUGGUCCGGCUUAUGAUCAUAUCUGAAUCUAGCCAUGAUCACUUGGGGGCUUCCUGUUCAAACAUAGGUCGUAUUCGAACCAAAGAGAACAUAGCUGUCGAUACCCGCUUGAUCGGCAUACUGCCAAACCCACUUGGGGGCUUCUUGAUCAUAUUUGAAUCAUAGCUUAACCCCUUUGGGUCUGACAUGGAUCGUAUUCGAAUCAGUGUCAUUAAACAAAUCUUAUGGUCACUUGGGGGCUUCCUAUUCAAACAUAGGUCGUAUUCGAACCAAAGAGAACAUAGUUGUCGAUACCCAUUUGAUCGGCAUCGCCAAGCCACUGGGGGCUAUAUGAUCGUAUCCUAAUCUUAGCUUAACCCCUUUGGAACGGUUUACUGAUCGUAUUCGAAUCAGAAGCCUGUAAAUGUUGGUUAUUAUCCAUUAUAAGCAUAAAUUAUUUUGACUAUACUAAGACCUUGUGAAAGGCAUUAUGCGAUGUUUUCUGUCUUUUCCGGUUUAAUAUUGGUCACACCAGGUUGUUAAAUACCAGGUGAGCAUCAUAUCAGCAGGAAAGAUUAUCAAGGGGAUCGCAGGUAUGUUAUCAUGGUUAUGUUUAAACAACUAUAGUCGUAAACCGGCUCGUGUAUGGUACCUUUGGUUGGUAUUCCGGGUUGUCAAUACUUUAUGGGACCCCCGGUGCAAUAAACCGCCAAAGGAAUUUUUGUUUGUUUUUAUGUGCAGGAUAAGGUAAGCAAAUUUAAAACACCAAGGGCAUAACCGAUCAACAUAAGCCAGAAGUAUAUAGAAACGGCGGCUUACGAAAAUGUUAAGUGCUAGGAAUAUGCGCGAAGGCAUGACAAACAUGGAGAAGUUUUUCUACCCUAUUACAAGACUCCCCGGGUCUGAACAAAUGAAGCAUUGCUUUUCACAUGACGCUUUACUCCUUCGGUGGGCUUGAAGACUCCGGGUUAUCCUUCUCUGCCUCUCCGUCGGCUGUUUUGUCCUGGAAAGUUGAUGAGGCCCGGUCAAUGCCACUCAAGGCUUCAAACUCAGCUUCAUCAUCUAUUAAAUCGGCUGGGUCCACUUCAGGGGCAAAAGUAUGCUUACGAGUAGGAGGGAUCAGGCUGACUUCAUCAUAUGGAACGUUUGGAAUUCUCCGGUUCUCACUAUCAUAGCCCGGAGAAUACUUGGUGAGGUCGGUAUCAUUCCCAAUAAGGGUUGCCACGGGACGUAUAACUUUGACACAGGCGAUGAAGUCCUGAUCAUCAAAUGCAGUACCGUCCUCUUUCCGACUGGGAUAUCCAAGAGCAAGGUCGGCCGGGUCUAGCUCUGGAAGCCAUGCUUUUGCCCGGCUCAAUGCGGCUACGGCUCCGGCUCUUGCGGAUGCCCGCCUUAAAUCCUGAAUUCGCUGAGGUAGCACAGCGAGAUGCUUCAGCACGUCUUGUAAGAGGUGGGGAGGGGUGUUUGAUAAGGCUACAACGGCCAAGGCACGUUGUGACCCGGAGUACGGCUGUUCCACUAAGGUGUAAACUGCUUUAAGCUUGAUCAGCAUGUUUUUCUUAAGGUUGGUACUCCUGGGGCCUGUGUGUGCACAAGCAUAACAGUCAGCCGGAAGUAAUUAUUACAAUAGUUAUUGUAAGGUUACAAUGUUUGAGGUUUUGCAUAGUAACUUACCGAAGAUGGCUGAGACCAUUUGAGAUAUCUGCCGUUUUAAGUCGGACAGCUCGGUUGUUGCCUCUGCAAGAGAUGCUUCUGCUGUCUCGGCCCGAGUCACCAGUCAAGCCUUCUCAUCAGCCCAAGCAUUCUUCUCUGACUCAAAAUUUUUCUUCAACUUCUCAUUUCCAGAGACACUGAAUUCAAACUUGGAGUUGGCCUUCUGAGUUUCAAGUUCUUGAGUUUCCAGACGACUCUUCAGGACAGCAAGCUCCGAUUCAAAUUGACUUAUGGUGGCCUGCAUUGACGCCAGGUUAUGGUAAGGAUCACUGUCGUGGAAUUGUCAUGUCAGAUGUCCUCGUGAAAGGACUUAGUUGUGGAGCCAUUGCAACUAGGAAGCUUGAAGGGGUUAAUCGGGACAAAGGACACGAGAGGUUUUUAUACUAGUUCGGCCCCUUACGGUGAAGGUAAGGCCUACGUCUAGUUGGGUUGGUAUUGAUGUUUCGAUGACCAGGGAGCGAGAUACGCUAUGCUGGUUCUUGAUGAGUUGUUUCCUGCCCUAAACCGCCAGCGGGUCGUCCCAUUAUAUACACGGGUCGAUGCCCUGCGGCUUAUAGAGUCCCGGCCGGCUUAUAAAUAAUGUCCGGCUCAGUGACUAGUUAAGUCUACCUUAUGAUACAAAAAUAUUAUAACUGCGGACUACAACGGGCCUUAAGUCGCCGGUGGGCUUUAAGCUUCCUAUGAACCGUCAUCUUCAUGCCUUGUCUUGGGCUUCUCUCCGGGGAGUCCUCUUUGCGUAACCCGGCCCCUCCUGGGCGGCUUACACAAAUAGUUAUAACCCCAACAUUAGGCCCCAGAUUGAUUUGAACCGGUUCAUGUCAAUCUUAAAAUACCUUAUGAACCGCCCUACAGUCUUCUAUCUUGCGCGAAGGAUUUUAACCCGCUGUGACAUCAUCAUCUAACUCUGGGUUAAAUCUUUGUGAUGUCAUCUUCAUUAAAGAUUCAUUUUUUAUAACGUCACAUCUUCAAUGGAUCUUUGUCUUUACUGACCAUCCCGAGAAUCGAGGCGCCAGAGCCGCUGGAUAAUGAAUGUUAUCUCCUCGUUUCUCGCGCCCUCUUGGUCAGUCUUCCCUUAUAAAUAGGGCAACCUAGUUCUUUUCCCCAGUCGUCUUCUUCCUCUCCUCUCUGCCACUCGAGCUCCGCCGCUGUCGCCAUCGACUCCCUUGUCUUCAUCGACUCAGGCCGCUGCAUCGACCUGACCUUGACCAGAGAUCGACGGUGAACCUCCGCAGCUCGUCCGCAUCUGUGAGUUCCUUUCAUUCCCUUUCUCAGAUCUGCAUUAGGUCCUUAUCGAGUUCGUCGGUGUUCAUCACUGGCCGACACCAAACCCUCGAUAAUUCCUUCCAAUGCCCUGUUAGAUCGUGAAAACCACAUAGAACUGCUGCGGUGUUUGUUUGUGUUGAUCUUGCAUAAAAAUAGAUCCCCUUUCCCUUGUUCAGGAACCCUCUUCGAGUGCAUGAACUUCUCUGCCUCGUUUUAGGUCUAGAAAAUUUCCUUUUCAGAACAAUAUUUUGAUCCAGAAACUGUUGGCUAUGAAACUUGCUUUUAUCACCCGGAAAAUCUCUUCUGGUACAUGCCCUGAAACACAACUGUCGAGAUGUCCGGCUUAAAUAAAUGAUACAGAACCUUGACUGCUCCUCAUGACCCAGAAAAAUUUUGAAUUGCACUUGAUACUUGUAGCGGCUUAAAUACAGUCAUCCUUAUAUCAUUAGGCCCCUCAUUAAUCCGCCACUUUAAAUAAUCAAGAUUUUCCUCCCGGGUUAAAAUUGAACCGGAUCUUCUUGUUUUCCAUAGGCCAAUUGCUGUGAUGGAUCCUAAGGCUACCAAGGCCCCUGUAACUUGCAAUUGGGUUCCAUCCAUAGUGACCAAUAGCAAACUAGCUGAGUUUGUAAAGUUUGGGCAUCUGCCAAAAAAGGACGUCAUGUCGUACCGUGCCCCUGACUCGUCUGAAGAAAUGCCUCUCCCCAAAGCAGGGGAAGUAAUAAUUUUUACAGAUCAUAUGAGCCGUGGAUUUGCCCCACCCGGUUCAAAAUUCUUCAGAGAGGUUUUAAAUGUCUUUGACCUUAGACCUCAAGACAUCGGACCCAAUUCUGUGUCAAAUAUUUGCAAUUUUCAAGUCUUCUGCGAGGUGUACCUGGGAGAGGAACCAAGUCUGAUUUUGUUCAGGGAACUUUUUUACAUGAACCGGCAAAAUGAAUGUGCCAACGGGCCCAGUCUUGAGCUUGGCGGCAUCUCAAUCGAGCGACGGAGAGACUGUCUUUUCCCUUAUGCUGAGUUGCCGAGUCACCCCAAAUCUUGGAACCAGACGUGGUUCUACUGUCAGGACACUUCUCCGGCUGAUGAAAAACCUCUGCCCGGCUUUCGCGCCCUGCGACUUGAGUCGAACCAUCCACUACUGGACAAGCUGACAACCCUUGAACGCGUGCCUCUCAAUUCCACCAUCAAGAAAAUAAAAGCUCUCUUGGGAAAUGGCUUAAACGGCAUCGAUCUGGUCCGAGUCUGGGUCACUUGGCGUAUACUUCCAUUAAGCCGCCGUCCCGGCUUAAUGUGUACUUAUACUGGAGAAAAGACUGAUCCACAACGCCAUAGCCCUGACGACUUACCAGAUGAUGUGGUGGAUGCUACCACCCAGUCACUGCUGAAGGAGGGUACUAUGACGAGCAACACCUUCGGCUUACUUCCGUUUUGCAAGAAUAACCCGGCCCCUGCGGUAAGUUAUCAAUCGUAACAAAUGUUCACGGAUACAUGAUACCUUGCUUCAUAUUCAUAAUUCUUUAACUUUUUUCAUAGGCUGGGGAUGACUUCUGGAAAGCCAAAUAUGACCAUGAAGCUGCCAAACAAGCCAGGACGACCAAGAAAGCUGAAAGGAAAGCCGCCAAGGUAGGAACCUCAAAGAAGAAAAAACCCAGCGCCUCCGACUUACUCAGAUUGGAGGAUAGAUAGGAAGAGGUACUCUUUAAAUUUUCUUAAGUCCCUUGUUACCACCUGUCUGACAUUUUUAUCCUUUCAGUAGGAUACGGGGAACAGUCGAGCAGCCAAUGAAGAGGUAACUAUAAUCUCCUCCGACUCAGAGCCUUUGCCAAGGAAAGACCCGAAGGGUGACCCGGAAAGUAAGAUUUUCACAUGCACUUGCUUAUCAAGAUCCUCAAUUUAUUUUGAAGCAACAACAGCUUGAGAACCGGAGGCAGACCCAGAACAACAAGGAUGCAGAACUCUCCUCCGGCUUACCUGAUGUGACCAGGAAGCGUCGUACUGAGGUUAUCUCCGAUUUACGCUCUGUCUUACCUUUAGCAGGCUUAAUUCGUCAACCUCUCAAUUCAUCUGACUCCAACUAUCAGGAUACCUCUCCUUCUUCUGGUGAAUCCAUGCAGUCAAAUAUGCCGACUUUCAAAACUGCUCCCGGGUAAUGUAAACUUAUGCACUUUUUACCUUACCCAUGCUUACGUAUUCAUCCUUCUGCUUUUGUUAACAGUAUGCAAGUGAAGCCCAGCAAACGGGCAAAGAAGAAUAAGCCGUCCGAAGAACCGGUCGUGGCUGAACCGGUGAUUAAUAGUCUGCUCCAGAUAGCGCUACCCAUCAACCGCCACCUGACCCGGCUUCUGAUAUUCCAGUGCCAACCUCUGAUCCACCUACCGAAGACAUUCUCCACAAAAAUGACCCGGAGACUCCUAACCCGGUGAAGAGAAAUGACCCGAAAGUUGAGAUUGUGAAGUCCCAGUUUGUUGAACCAGGGCGGCCUACAGUCCUUGCCAAAUGUACCGCCAAGGAAGAGUUUGCCCAACACCCAAAAGCCAAGCAGGACAUUACGGAUUAUACUCACCUAAGCAUUGGUGAUAUAGUCUCAGGCUAUCUGAAUAGAGUGCAUAGUAGCCGUGACCUGGAAGUUGACAUGGUGAAACAAAUAUAGCAUAAAUCUGAGGUAUAACUUAUACUUUUAUCUGAGUCUUAUAUAUACUGUACCAGCCCCCAAGUCUAUUGCUUAUGAACAAAUACGCUGUAGACUUAGAAAUCUACUUUUACUUGGUAAUUUAUCCGGCUUAAAAAGAAUUUAUUUAACCCGGUAUAACAUAAGGCUCUUAAAUUUGCAAUAUACAUUAGUCCCCAAGUGUCAAGUACCCUUACUUGUAAGGUGCUUGAAACUUAAUAUGUUUGACCCCGCAGGAUAAAGUUAAAAAUUCUUCAGCAUACAUUAGCCCCCAAGUGCCAAGUAUCUUUACUUGUAAAGUGCUUGGGACUUGAAUGUUUACCUUACUAGAAUCCUUACCAUAACCCGGUGUCAAUGCAGGCCGCCAUAAGUCAAUUUGAAUCAGAGCUUGCUGCUCUGAAGAGUCGUCUGGAAACUCAAGAGCUUGAGACGCAGAAAGGUAACUCCAAAUUUGAAUUUAGUGUCUCUGAAAAUGAGAAGCUAAAGAAGAAUUUUGAGUCAGAAAAGAAAAUUUGGGCGGAUGAAAAGGCUUCCCUGGUGACUCGGGCCGAAACAGCCGAAGCAUCUCUUGCAGAAGCAACAACCGAGCUGUCCAACUUAAAACAGCAAAUAUCCCAAAUGGUCUCAGCCAUCUUUGGUAAGUUAUUGUGACACAGCUUUAACAUGGCAACCUGUCAAUAACUAUUGUAACAAUUACUUCCGGCUUACCAUUAUGCUUGUGCACAUACAGGCUCUAGGAGUGUCAAUCUGAAGCAGAACACGCUGAUCAAGCUUAAAGCAAUUUACACGUUAGUGGAACAACUAUACUCCGGGACACAACGUGCCCUGGCCGUUGUAGCUUUAUCAACUCCACACCCCCGCCUUUUGCAAGAUGUAUUGAAGAGCCUUGCCUUUCUACCUCAGCGGAUCCAAGACUUAAGGCAUUCAUCUUCAAGAGCCGGGGCCAUAGCCGCAUUGAGCCGGGCAAAAGCAUGGCUCCCAGAACUAGACCCGGCAGACCUUGCUCUUGGAUAUCCGAGUCUAAAGGAAGACGGCAAUGCCUUUGAUGAUCAUGACUUCCACGCCUGUAUUAAAGCCAUACGUCCAGUGGCCACCCUUAUUGGAAACGAUACUGACCUCGGCAAGUAUGUGUCGGCUUAUGACAGUAACAACCGGAAAAUCCCAAAUGCUCCAUAUGAUCAAAUCAGCCUGAUCCCUCCAACUCGUAAGCAUAAUUUUGCCCCUGAAGUGGACCCGGUCAGUUUAAUAGAUGAUGAAGCUGAAUUUGAAGCUUUGAGCGGCAUUGAUUAGGCUUCAUCAACUUUCUAGGAAACAACAGCCAACGGAGAAGCGGAGAAGGAUAACCCGGAGCCUUCCAACCCGCCGAAGGAGUGAAUCACCAGGUGUUUGGCCAAAAUACAAUGCUUACUCUAUUCAGACUUGGGGAGUCUUGUAAUAGGGUAGAAAUAACUUCUUAAUGCUCGUCAUGCCUUCAUGCAUGCUCUUAUCACUUGACGCUUUUCGUAAGCCGCCAUGGCUGUAUAUUUCUGGCUUUUACUUCCUUGGCGUGUUAAAUUUUGCUUGCCUUAUUCUGCAAUCCUUGAAUGAUCUUCCCGGCUCAUAUAAUGUUCACCCGGUACUUAAUAACCUAGGGUGACGAAUAUUAAACCGGCAAGACAAAAAACAAUUUUAAAUGCUUUUCACAAGGUAUCAGAAUAAUCAAAAUACUUUUACAGGCUUCUGAUUCAGAUACGAUCAGUAAACCGUUCCAAAGGGGUUAAGCUAAGAUUCGGAUACGAUCAUAUAGCCCCCAGUGGCGUGGCAAUGCCAAUCAAGUGGGUAUCGACAGCUAUGUUCUCUUUGGUUCGAAUACGACCUAUGUUUGAACAGGAAGCCCCCAAGUGACCAUAGGAUUUAUUUAAUGACGUUGAUUCGUAUACGAUCCACGUUAGACCUAAAGAGGUUAAGCUAUGAUUCAAAUAUGAUCAAGAAGCCCCCAAGUAGGAUUGGCAAGUAUGCCGAUCAAGUGGGUAUCGACAGCUAUGUUCUCUUUGGUUCGGAUACGACCUAUGUUUGAACAGGAAGCCCCCAAGUGAUCAUGGCUAGAUUUAGAUAUGAUCAUAAGCCGGUCCAAAGGGAAAGCCGGAUUCAGAUAUGAUCCGGUCCCUGUUGGUUGUUUCCACCACCUGCCAAAAAGACAUAUACACUUUUUUGAGGGUGAAAAAAGGACAGAGGUCCUGCUUUAUUACUUUAUAUAAUAUAUACAUUGUCGAAAAAUAUAUACAUCUAAAGAGCCGGUGGCUUAAGUAUAGUAAGGCCAAAGAUGGGCUAUAUUCCACGGCUGGCGGGUCUCUUCCUCCGAUUUACCUGAGUCUUUGUGCUCUCGAAUAUCAAUGAGGUAGUAUGACCCGUUGUGCAAGUUCUUGCUGACCACAAAGGGUCCUUCUCAAGGAGGGGAUAGCUUGUGCAUAUCAGACUGAUCCUGGAUGAGCCGCAGCAUGAGAUCACCUUCCUGAAAGGUUCUGCUUCUGACCCGGCGGCUGUGAUAAUGACGAAGGUCUUGCUGGUAAAUCGCUGAGCGGGCUAUUGCCAAGUCUCGCUCUUCAUCCAACAAAUCAAGUGCCUCCUGUUGAGCUUUUUCAUUGUCAACCUCAACGUAAGCCGCCACACGGGGUGAGUCGUGCCGGAUGUCGCUCGGCAGAACUGCCUCUGCUCCAUAAACCAUGAAAAAAGGCGUAUAACCCGUGGAUCUGUUAGGCGUAGUGUUGAUGCUCCAUAGCACAGAGGGCAGCUCUUCGACCCAACAACUCGGAGUCCGCUGUAAGGGGACCAAGAGCCGUGGUUUGAUACCCCUUAAAAUCUCAUGAUUAGCUCGUUCUGCUUGACCAUUGGACUGAGGAUGAGCAACAGCAGAAACGUCAAGCCGGAUAUGUUCCCGUUGGAAGAACUCUUCCAUGGCACCCUUGGAGAGAUUAGUGCCAUUAUCAGUUAUGAUGCUAUGUGGAAAACCAAAAUGAAAGAUCGCCUUUUUGAUGAACUGCACCGCUGUGGCCGCAUCACACUGACUGACCGGCUCUGCCUCAAUCCACUUUGUAAAUUUAUCCACUGCCACCAGGAGGUGCGUUUUUUUAUCCUUAAACCUUUUGAAAGGUCCCACCAUGUCAAGCCCCCAGACUGUGAACAGCCAAGUAAUUGGAAUCAUCCUCAACUCCUGAGCCGGCACAUGAGCUCGUCUUGAGAACUUUUGACACCCGUCACAUUUGCUAACAAGGUCUUCUGCAUCAGCAUGAGCCGUCAGCCAAUAAAAACCAUGACGGAAAGCCUUGGCCACCAGAGAUUUUGAGCCGGCAUGAUGACCACAAUCCCCUUCAUGGAUCUCUCGAAGUAUCGCUUGAACUUCUGCAGGUGAGACACAACGCUGGAACGCCCCUGUAACACUAAGGUGAUGUAAUUCGCCAUUAACAAUUGUCAUGGAUUUGGAUUGCCUGACAAAUUGUCUCGCCAAGGUCUCAUCCUCAGGCAGCUCUCCCCGGGUCAUAUAAGCCAAAUAUGGCAAUGUCCAGUCUGGGAUGACAUGAAGUGAAGCCACCAACUGUGCCUCCGGGUCCGGCACUGCAAGCUCUUCCUAUGUAGGUACUUUGACAGAAGGAUUAUGUAGAACGUCCAGAAAGGUGUUAGGCGGCACCGGCUUACGCUGAGAGCCCAACCGGCUUAAAGCAUCCGCCGCCUCAUUCUUCCUUCUAUCAAUGUGCUCCACCUGAUACCCUUUGAAGUACCCAGCUACAGCAUCAACUUCAUGACGAUAAGCCGCCAUAAGGGGAUCCUUAGAAUCCCAUGUGCCUGAGACCUGUUGAGCCAUGAGAUCUGAGUCGCCCAAGCACCUUACCCAGCUUAGAUUCAUCUCCUUAGCCAUCCGGAGACCAUGGAGCAAGGCCUCGUAUUCAGCUACAUUGUUAGUGCAAGGAAACAUGAGCCGGAGCACAUAACGAAAUUUGUCACCUCGAGGGGAAGUUAAGACAACCCCAGCCCCUGAUCCUUCUAACUGCCUGGACCCAUCAAAGUGAAUAGUCCAAUACGUAUUGUCCGGCUUCUCCUCAGGUGCCUGCAACUCUGUCCAAUCAUUGAUAAAAUCCACCAAGGCCUGAGACUUGAUGGCAGUACGGGGCAUAUACUUCAGGCCAUAAGGCCCAAGCUCAAUGUCCCACUUGGCGAUUCAUCCUGUGGCUUCCCUGUUCUGGAUGAUGUCUCCCAAAGGAGCUGAACUUACCACCGUUAUAGGAUGACCUUGAAAGUACUGCUUCAGCUUCCGAUUUGCCAUGAAUACACCGUAAACAAGCUUCUGCCAAUGCGGAUACCUUUGUUUAGACUCAAUAAGUACCUCUCUGAUGUAGUAAACGGGCCGUUGAACCGGAUGCUCCUUGCCUGCCUCCUUACGUUCCACUAUGAUGGCCACACUGACGGCCCGUGAGUUAGCAGCCACAUAUAAUAAUAGCGGCUCUCUAUCAAUGGGAGCUGCAAGAACCGGUGGCUCAGACAACUGUCUCUUUAAAUCCUCAAAGGAAGCGUUAGCAACAUCACUCCAGACAAAAGUGUCUGUUUUCUUCAUCAUCUGGUAUAGCGGCAAGGCCUUUUCCCCCAACCGGCUUAUGAACCGGCUUAAAGCAGCAACACGUCCCGCCAGGCGUUGAACAUGAUUGAUACAUGCCGGCUUAGCCAGAGAGGUAAUCGUCGUGAUCUUCUCCGGAUUAGCUUCAAUGCCUUGAUUUGACACCAGAAAACCCAAGAGCUUGCCUGCAGGUACAUCAAAUACACACUUGGCCGGGUUAAGCAUCAUCUUGUAAACCCGGAGAUUGUCAAAGGUCUCUCUCAAAUCGGAUAUUAAAGUUUCCUUUUCUCUGGAUUUCACCAUGAUGUCAUCCACAUAAGCAUGAACAUUGCGCCCAAUCUGAUCGUGCAAACAGUUCUGCACACAUCGCUGAUAAGUCGCCUGGGCACUCUUGAGCCCAAACGGCAUAGAUACAUAACAGAAGGCCCCAAACAGAGUGAUGAAAGCUAUCUUCUCCUAGUCCUUAACUGCCAUCUUGAUCUGAUGAUAGCCAGAGUAAGCAUCCAAAAAGCUCAAACAUUCACAACCUGCUAUAGCAUCAAUGAUUUGAUCAAUACGGGGGAGUGCAAAGGGAUCAGCCGGGCAAGCCUUGUUUAAGUCCGUGUAAUCCACACACAUCUACCAAGUGCCUUUUUUCUUGAGCACCAGCACCGGGUUAGCCAACCACUCUGGAUGAAAGACUUCGACAAUAAACCCGGCCACUAAGAGUCGGGCCACCUCUUCCCCAAUGGCUGCUCGUCUCUCUUUGUUGAAUCAUCGGAGAAACUGCCUGACUGGCUUACUUUGGAUCAAUAUUGAGAGUGUGCUCAGCGAGUUCCCUCGGUACACCCGGCAUGUCAGAAGGUUUCCAUGCGAAGAUGUCUCGGUUCUCAAGGAUGAACUCGAUGAGCGCGCUUUCCUAUUUAGGAUCCAAAUUGGCACUGAUACUGAACUGCUUAGAGGCGUCUCCCGGGGUGAAGUCAACAAGCUUUGUCUCAGCGGCCGAUUUAAACUUCAGCGUCGGGUCGUGCUCUGUAGUUGGUUUCUUGAGGGAGGUCAUAUCAGUCGGGUCAACAUUGUCUUGAUAGAAUUUGAGCUCCUCCGCAGCACAGGUCGUCUCAGCAUAAGCCGCGUCGCCUUCUUCACAUUCCAAGGCUACCUUCCGACUCCCAUGCACAGUGAUGGUGCCCUUGUAACCCGGCAUCUUGAGCUGUAAGUAAACGUAACACGGCUGUGCCAUGAACUUAGCAUAAGACGGUCACCCAAACAGAGCGUGAUAUGGACUCCUGAUUUUGACCACUUCAAACGUCAACUUCUCAGCCCUGGAAUCAUACUCAUCUCCAAAGGCCACCUCUAAUUCUAUCUUACCAACCGGGUAAGCCGACUUGCCCGGAACCACCCCAUGGAAAACAGUGUUGGAUGUUCGCAGGUUCUUCUCAGUCAACCCCAUACGCUGGAAGGUCUCAUAAUAGAGUAUGUUGAUGCUACUACCUCCAUCCAUGAGUACCUUAGUGAAUUUAUACCCACCAACCUGGGGUGCUACCACCAAGGCUAACUGACCCGGAUUAUCGACGCGUGGGGGGUGAUCCUCUCUGCUCCAAAUGAUGGGUUGCUCUGACCAUCUUAAAUAACGAGGAACUGCUGGCUCAACUGAAUUUACAGCCCUCUUAUAAACCUUCUGGUCAUGUUUGCAUAAGCUGGUGGUAAAUACAUGGUACUGUCCACCGCUCAACUAUUUUGGUUGGCUCUAGUAACCCGACUGCUGCUGCUGCUGUCCACCCUGACCAGAUUGCUGCUGAUUAUUUCCACCCGGCUGUCCCUGAAAACCGGAAUUUGAGCCGCCGCCCGGGCCAUGAAAGCCGUCGGCCCCUGAACCACCACCAGAUCCAUGACCACCAUCAAAGAUAUUGGAAUUUUUAAAUGCCUUCAUUAUCGCACAAUCUUUCCACAGGUGCGUAGCGGGGUGCUCCCGGGUGCCGUGUUUCGGACAGGGCUCGUUGAGUAGCUGCUCAAGAGAUGGGCCUGACCCGCUGUUUCGAAGCCACUUACCCUUACGUCUCUGAUUGUUACCCUGCGUACUAGCGUUAGCCACCAGCUCCGGGUUGCCAUCCACCUUACGCUUGUUACUACUUUGAUUCCCCGGGUUGGGUUGUUGACCCUUUCCAUUACCGUUCCUUUUACCCUUCCCUGCCUUCUAUCGUCAGACGCGGGGUCCUUGGUAUUAUCAGAAUCGGCAUAUUUGACUAAAGCCGCCAUCAGCGUUCCCAUAUCGGUGCAAUCACGCUUAAGUCGGCCCAAUUUCUGCCUCAGCGGUUCGAAGUUGCAAUUCUUCUCCAACAUGAGGACUGCAGAGCCGGCAUCCAUCUUAUCAGAUGAGUGAAUGAUCUCCUUGACCCGGCGUACCCAAUGGGUGGUGGACUCACCCUCCCCCUACUUACAACUUUUCAAGUCCACGAUUGACAUGGACUGCUUACAGGUGUCUUUGAAGUUUUGGAUGAACCGGGCCUUUAACUCCUCCCACGAACCAAUGGAAUUGGGUGGUAAACCUUUUAGCAAGGACCGGGCCGUCCCAUCUAACAUCAUGGUGAAGUAUUUAGCCAUUGCCGCGUCACUAACCUCCAACAGCUCCAUGGCCAUCUCAUAGCUCUCAAUCCAUGCCCCGGGUUGUAAGUCGGCCGUGUAAUUCGGCACCUUUCGAGGUCCCUUGAAGUCCUUAGGCAGGCGCACAUUACGCAAAGCCGGUAUCAAACAGGGAACCCCACCGGUUCUGGUGGCUACUCCCAUCUCAAAAGAAGUCAUUGGAUACUCUGGGAUAUCCUGGUGAGUCACCCGCUGAGCCGCCUGCUGAGCAGCUAGUUGAGCCGCCCGUUCGUUCUCCUAACGUACUCGAUUCUGCACCGGGUUAUAGCCACCAUGCUGGCGUUGGGCGUUGCUUGAUAAAGCUUCAGACUCCAUGUGCCUGUUGUAACUUGGGCUCCGGUUCUGACAAGGCGGCGCUAACCAAGGUGGAGGAGUUGAAUGAAUUCUAUCCCGGCUGUAAGAAUAGGUCUCUUGCUGAGCCAGAGCCGUCUGGACAAGUUCCCUGAUCCUCCGGGUCUCCACCGCUGUUGGAUCAUCACCAUCCACUGGAAGAGCUGCCAAACACGCUGAUGCUGCGAUUAAAUUCUCCAUGGGGUUGGAAAAGUGACCCUCCGGUAUUGGCACAUAACGCGGCGGUGCCAUGCUCAUGUGAGGAGGUGGCAUCUCCUGACGCUGAGCCGGUCCUCCCACUCCGGGUGUCGUAAACUGAUUAGCAUUGGGCGGGUUACUUGGGCCGGCUCCGGGUGUGGCAAAGAGAACCCUAGGGUCAUAAUUCGGAGGCAACCGGGAUUGGGUCUUCUGGUGUCUCCUCCUCAUUACCUCAUUGGACGCAUUUAAACUCAUCGUAAGCUGGUAAGCCUCUGACUGCAACCGCUGUGCCCGGGCGUCGAGAGUCGCCCGCUCCAUGGCUAGCCUAGUAUCCUCAGCUGCCAAGGCCUCCUUGGCCUGAGCUAUCUCCUCACGUACCCGUGCUACCUCCGCGUCAUGCUCAUCUUUGUUUGCAGGAAUAACCGUGGCGGUUAACAGGGUCGUAAGCUUGUCCAUGAGGUCUAUCAGUACUUGAGCCGGCGGGCGCACAGGGCCUCCUGCCCUGGCUACUCCUAACCCGGAAGUGAUUGCGGCCGCAGCUGUAGAGUUUUGUCCGGGUUGAGUCCCAGUCAUAAAGACUCCUGCCCAAUUUGGCGACUCACAGAGGUCCGGAAUACUAAGGCCAUCGGAACAGCCCCCAAGCGCACCAUCUUGAACUUGAUACAAAGAAUCUGUUGAACCAGCAGACGAAUCACCGUCAGAGGGGACGGCCGUCUCACCACCAUCUUCAGGACCUCUGAAAGCUCUUCUCCGUGGAUGCAGCCCACAAAGACACGCUUCAUGCUGGGUUGAACUCGGGCGGGUUUCGCACGCUGAGCCGUCUCGAUGAGGUUGGUGCAUUUUUCUGGCUCAGGCCCCGGCUCACCAAUCCGGCCGAUGAAGACGUGGAUCCCUCCGAAGGGGACCCAGUACCCGUACUCAAUUGAGCCGGCGUCGGGGCCCCAGCCUUCGUCGUCGAUGUAGAUCUUGCCAUGACGACUUUUGGUCAUCCGGCCCGCUACGUAUCCCUUGAGCCCUUCGAAGUUGCCCUUUAAGAACUCAAAUCCACCUUGCGCUGGCCCCACGGUGGGCGCCAACUGUCGUGGAAUUGUCACGUCAGAUGUUCUCGUGAAAGGACUUAGUUGUGGAGCCAUCGCAACUAGGAAGCUUGAAGGGGUUAAUCGGGACAAAGGACACGAGAGGUUUUUAUACUAGUUUGGCCCCUUACGGUGAAGGUAAGGCCUACGUCUAGUUGGGUUGGUAUUGAUGUUUCGAUGACCAAGGAGCGAGAUACGCUAAGCCUGGUUCUCGAUGAGUUGUUUCCUGCCCUAAACCGCCAGUGGGUCGUCCCCUUAUAUACACGGGUCGACGCCCUGCGGCUUACAGAGUCCCGGCCGGCUUAUAAACAAUGUCCGGCUCGGUGACUAGUUAAGUCUACCUUAUGAUACAAGUAAUAUUAUAAUUGUGGUUUACUACAACGGGCCUUAAGUCGCCGGUGGGCUUUAAGCUUCCUAUGAACCGUCAUCUUCAUGCCUUGUCUUGGGCUUCUCUCCGGUGAGUCCUCUUUGCGUAACCCGGCCCUUCCUGGGCGGCUUACACAAAUAGUUAUAUCCCCAACAAUCACGGCAAGGUAACAUUCAAGUCCCAAGCACUUUACAAGUAAAGAUACUUGGCACUUGGGGGCUAAUGUAUGCUGAAGAAUUUUAAACCUAUCAUACCGGGUCACCCAUAUUAAGUCUCAAGCACUUUACAAGUAAAGAUACUUGACCCUUGGGGGCUAAUGUAUAUUGCAAAUUUAAGACUAUCAUGUUAUAACCGGAUUAAAUAUAUUCUCUUUGAACCGGAUAAAUUAACAAGUAAAGCAGAUUUCUAAGUCUAUAGCAUAUUUAUUCAUAAGCAAUAGACUUGGGGGCUGGUAUAGUAUGUAAGAUUCAGGUAAAUAGUAUAAGUUAUACCUCAGAUUUGUGUUGUAUUUAUUUUACCAUGUCAAUUUCCAGGUCACGGCUAUUAUGCACUUGAUUCAGAUAGCCCGAGACUAUAUCACCAAUGCUUAAGUGAGUAUAAUCAGUAAUGUCCUGCUUGGCUUUUCGGCGUUUGGCAAGUUCUUCCUUGGCAGUACAUUUGGCAAGGACGGUAGGCCACCCUGGUUCAACAAACUGAGACCUCACAAUCUCAACUUCCGGGUCAUUUGUCUUGACCGGGCUAGGAGUCUUCGGGUUAUAAGAACUGUUGAGAGUAUCUUCGGCGGGCGGAUCAAAGGUUGGCACUGGAAUAUCAGAAGACGGUUCAGGCGGCGACUGAUGGGUAGACCUGUCUGGAGCAGACAUAUUAAUCACCAGUUCAGUUACAAUCGGGUCUUGGGACGGCUUAUUCUUCUUUGCCCUCUUGCUGGUUUUCACUUGCAUGCUGUUAACAAAGGCAGAAGGAUGAAUACGCAAGCAUGGGUAAAGUAAAGCUCAAGGUACAUAAGGUUACAUAACCCGGGAGCAGUUUUGAAAGCCGGCAUGUUUGAUUGCAUGGAUUCGCCGGAAGAAGGAGAGGUAUCCUGAUAAUUGGAGUUAGACAAAUUGAGAGGUUGACGAAUUAAGCCCGCUAAAGGUAAAAUAGAACGUAAAUCAGAGAUAACCUCAGUCUAACGCUUCCUGGUUAUGUCAGGUAAGACGGAGGAGAGUUCCGCAUCCUUGUUGUUCCAGGUCUGCCUCCGGCUCACAAGUUGUUGUUGCUUCAAAAGAAAUUGAGGAUCUUGAUAAGCAAGAGCAUGUGAAAAUCUUACUUUCCGGGUCACCCUUGGGAUCUUUUGCUUUGGCAAAGGCUUUGAGUCGGAAAAGAUUAUAGUUACCUCUUCAUCGGCUGCUUGACUGUUCUCCGUAUCCUCCUGAAGGGAUAGAAUGUCAGACAGGUAAUGACAAGGGAAUUAAGAAAAUUUAAAGAUUACCACUUCAUCAUCCGAAGAACUAUCAUCCAAUUUGAGUAAGUCAGAGGCGCUGGGUUUCUUCUUCUUUGAGGUUCCCGUCUUACUGGUUUUCCUUUCGGUUUUGUUGGUCGUCCUGGCUUGUUUGGCAGCCUCAUGGUCAUAUUUGACCUUCCAGAAGUUAUCAUCGGCCUGUGGAAAAGGAUAAGGAAUUAUGAGUACCAAAAAAGGUAUAAUAUAGCAAAGAGUAUUUAUUAAGAUUGAUAACUUACUUCAGGGGACGGGUUCUUCUUGCAAAAGGGAAAUAAGCCGAAGGUGUUACUCGUCACAGUGUCCUCCUUCAGUAGCGACUGGGUUGUAGCAUCCACCACAUCAUCUGGUAAGUCGUCAGGACUAUGGCGUAACGGGUCAUCCUUUUUGCCUAUGUAAGUACACAUUAAGCCGGAAUGGCGGCUUAAGGGAAGUACUCGCCAAGUGACCCAGACUCGGACCAGAUCGAUGCCGUUUAAACCGUUUCCCAAGAGAGAUUUGAUCUUCUUGAUGGUGGGAUUGAGAGGCAGACAGUCAACGGCCGUCAGUUUGUCUGUUAGCGGAUGGUUGGACUCAAGGCGCAGGGCACGAAAGCCGGGCAGAGGCUUCUCAUCAGCCGAAGAAGUGUCCUGACAGUAGAACCACGUUUGGUUCCAAGAUUUUGGGUGACUCGGCAGCUCAGCAUAAGGAAAAAGGCAGUCUCUCCGUCGCUAGAUCGAGAUGCCGCCAAGCUCAAGACUGGGCCCGUUGGCACGUUCAUUUUGCCGGUUCAGGUCGAAAAGUUCCCUGAACAAUAGCAGACUUGGCUCCUCUCCCAGGUACACCUCGCAGAAGACUUGGAAAUUGCAAAUAUUUGACACGGAAUUGGGUCCGAUGUCUUGAGGUCUAAGGUCAAAGAAAUUCAAAACCUCCCUGAAGAAUUUUGAGCCGGGAGGAGCAAAUCCCCGGCUCAUAUAAUCUGUAAAAAUUAUUACCUCCCCUUCUUUGGGUUGAGGCCUCUCUUCAGACGGGUCAGGGGCACGAUAAGACAUGACCUCCUUUUUUGGCAGGUGGCCAGAUUUCACGAACUUAGCCAGUUUACUCUUGGUAACUAUGGAUGGGACCCAAUUGCAGGUCACAGGGGCCUUGGCAGCCUUAGGAGCCAUGACAACAAUUGGCCUAUGACAAAAUAAGAAGAUCCGGUUCAAUUUUAACCCGGAAGAAAUAUCUUAAUUAUUCAAGGUGGCGGCUUAAUAAGGGGCCUAAUGAUAUAAGGAUAACUACGCAACGGUAUUUAAGCCGCCACACAUAACAAAAGCAGUUCCAACUUCUUAAGGUCAUGAGGAGCAAGUAAGGUUCACAGUUCUGUGUCAUUUAUCUAAGCCGGCUACAUGGACAGUUGUGUGGAAAAGUAUUUGACAGAAGUAGUUUUCCGGGUGAUACAAACAGGUUUCAUAAUCUGCUAUUGAUAUUUGAGAUCAAAAAAUGACACUGACAAGAAAAUUUUCUAGACCUAAAACUGAUGCAGAUGAAGUUCAAGAGCUUGAAUGGGACCUCUGUGUAACAGAAAGGGAUCUAUCUACGUCCAAAGUAGGUGCGGAAAACCUACCAUAUCGGUUUCUACCAUCUCUAAAGAUCAAGAAAAGUGGGGGUAAUGGAAUCCAUGAAAGGGAACUGCUAAACGGCGAAGAACGCAAGAACUCGGAGGUCUUAAUGUGGAUCUAAGAGGCAGGAAAAAGGGGACUUACGGAUGCAGGGUUGCAGCGGAAGAUUGUCGCGUUACUCUGGUCAAACCAGGUUGAUGCAGCAGCCGGAGUUGGUGAAGACGAGAUCUACGACAGCGGCGGCGGCAGAGCUCGAGCGACAGAGAAGCAGCGAGAGGAAGAAGACGACUGGAAGGAGGAGAAUGGGUAGACCAGGGUCGCGCCUAUUUAUAAGAGAAGGAUAACUGAGGCAGCACGAGAAACGAGGAGAUAAAAUUUAUUAUCCAGCAGCCCUGACGCCUCGAUUCUCGGGAUGGUCAGUAAAGGCAAAGAUCCAUUGGAGGAUAUGAUGGAGUAAAAAUAAGUUUUAUUGAAGAUGACGUCAUGGUGAUUUAACCCGGAUCCAGAUGAUGACGUCACAUCGGGUUAAAAUCUUCGCGCAAGACAAAAGACUGAAGGACAGUUCCAUAAGGUAUUUUAAGAUUGACAUGAACAAGUUCAAAUCAAUCUAGGGCCUAAUGUUGGGGAUAUAACUAUUUGUGUAAGCCGCCCAGGAGGGGCCGGGUUACGCAAAGACUUACCAGAGAGAAGCCCAAGACCAAAGCAUGAAGAUGGCAGUUCAUAGAGGGCUUAAGGCCCACACGCGACUUAAGGCCCAUUGUAAUAAACCGCCACAGUAAUAUGACUUGUAUCAUAAGGUAGACUUAACUAGUCACCGAGUCGGACACUGUUUAUAAACCGGCCGGGACUCUGUGAGCCACAGGGCGUCAACCCAUGUAUAUAAGGGGACGGCCUGCUAGCGGCUUAGGGCAAGAAACAACUCAUUGAGAGCCGGGCAUAGCGUAUCUCGCUCCCUGGUCAUCGAAACAUUAAUACCAACCCAACUAGACGUAGGCCUUACCUUCACCGUAAGGGGUCGAACUAGUAUAAAACCUCUCGUGUCCCUUGUCCCGAUUAACCCCUUCAAGCUUCCUAGUUGCGAUGGCUCCACAACUAAGUCCUUUCACGAGGACAUCUAACGUGACAAUUCCACGACAGGAAUUAAGUUUGGGGAUGCUUGAUACGUCUCCAAUGUAUCUAUAAUUUUUUAUUAUUCCAUGCUAUUAUAUUAUCCAUCUUGGAUGUUUUAUAGGCAUUUAUAUGUUAUUUUAUAUGAUUUUUGGGACUAACCUAUUAACCUAGAGCCCAGUGCCAGUUUCUGUUUUUCCUUGUUUUUGAGUUUUACAGAAAAGGAAUAUCAAACGGGGUCCAAACGAGUUGAAAAUUCCUGAUGAUUUUUAUGACCAGAAGAAGCCCCCAAAGCAAAAGAGUUGGACCAGAAGAGUCCUGAGUCAUCCAUGAGGGUGGAGGGCGCGCCCUACCCCCCUAGGCGCGCCCCCUACAUCGUGGCUGACUCGGAGACCCCCCUGACGUGAAACCGACGCCAAAAAUUCCUAUAAAUACAGAAAACCCCGAAAAGAAACCAAGAUCGGGAUUUCCACCUCCGCAAGCCUCUGUAGACACCAAAAUCCAAUUGGGACCCUGUUCCGGCACCCUUCCAGAGGGGGAUCCAUCACCGGUGGCCAUCUUCAUCAUUCCGGCGCUCUCCAUGAUGAGGAGGGAGUAGUUCACCCUCGGGGCUGAGGGUAUGUACCAGUAGCUAUGUGUUUGAUCUCUCUCUCUCUCUCUCUCUCUCUCUCUCUCUCUCUCUCUCGUGUUCUUGAUUCAGCAUGAUCUUGAUGUAUCGUGAGCUUUGCUACUAUAGUUGGAUCAUAUGAUGUUUCUCCCCCUCUAUCUUCUUGUAAUGGAUUGAGUUUUCCCUUUGAAGUUAUCUUAUCGGAUUGAGUCUUUAAGGAUUUGAGAACACUUGGUGUAUGUCUUGCAUGUGCUUAUCUGUGGUGACAAUGGGAUAUUCAUGUGAUCCACUUGAUGUAUGUUUUGGUGAUCAACUUGCGGGUUAUGUGACCUUGUGAACUUAUGCAUAAGGGUUGGCACACUUUUUCGUAUUGACUCUCCAGUAGAAACUUCGGGCCACUCUUUGAAGUUCUUUGUGUUGGUUUGAAUAGAUGAAUCUGAGAUUGUGUGAUGCAUGUCAUAUAAUCAAACCCGCAGAUACUUAUGGUGACAUUAGAGUAUCUAGGUGACAUUAGGGUUUUGGUUGAUCUGUGUCUUAAGGUGUUAUUUUACUACGAACUCUAGGGCUAUUUGUGACACUUAUAGGAAUAGCCCAAUGGAUUGAUCGGAAAGAAUAACUUUGAGGUGGUUUCGUACCCUACAAUAAUCUCUUUGUUUGUUCUCCGCUAUUAGUGACUUUGGAGUGACUCUUUGUUGCAUGUCGAGGGAUUGUUAUAUGAUCUAAUUAUGUUAUCAUUGUUGAGAGAACUUGCACUAGUGAAAGUAUGAACCCUAGGCCUUGUUUCAAAGCAUUGCAAUACCGUUUUCGCUCACUUUUACCACUUGCUACCUUGCUAUUUUUAUAAUUUCAGAUUACAAAAACCUAUAUCUACCAUCCAUAUUGCACUUGUAUCACCAUCUCUUCGCCAAACUAGCGCACCUAUACAAUUUACCAUUGUAUUGGGUGUGUUGGGGACAUAAGAGACUCAUUAUUAUUUGGUUGCAGGGUUUUUUGAGAGAGACCAUCUUCAUCCUACGCCUCACACGAAUUGAUAAACCUUAGGUCAUCCACUUGAGGGAAAUUUGCUACUUUCCUACAAACCUUUGCACUUGGAGGCCCAACAAUGUCUAAAAGAAUAAGGUUGCAUAGUAGACAUCACGCCGAGAACGCCAAGUCCAGCGGCAACCUGAAUCACGUCAAAUGAAGCAUAAGAAAAAGAACGACUCGGCGGCUCUCCGGAGUCAGCAGAAGACUUACCCUAUCACCGCCGGGACAGGCCAUCUCGCCGGCGCCGCCGGGGCAAUACGUUGCCUCUUCCUGGUGUCUGGCUUACCGCUUGUGGUCGGAUCCGUUGUGCGCUUUGCGGCCGGCUUCGGCACCACGUACUCUUCUCCAUGUGGCCGGCGCGUGGGACGACCCGGUGAUGACCCACAAGUAUAGGGGAUCUAUCGUAGUCCUUUCGAUAAGUAAGAGUGUCGAACCCAACGAGGAGCAGAAGGAAAUGAUAAGCAGUUUUCAGUAAGGUUUUCUCUGCAAGCACUGAAAUAGUAGGUGAUAGAUAGUUUUGUGAUAAGAUAAAUAAUAACGAGCAAAAGUAAAUAAAGUAAAUAAGGUGCAGCAAGGUGGCCCAAUCCUUUAUGUAGCAAAGGAUAAGCCUGGACAAAUUCUAAUAAGGAUGAAGGAGCUCCCGAGAACACAUUGGGAAUUAUCGUCAAGCUAGUUUCAUCACAUUCAUAUGAUUCGCGUUCGGUACUUUGAUAAUUUGAUAUGUGGGUAGACCGACACUUGGGUACUGCCCUAACUUGGACAAGCAUCCCACUUAUGAUUAACCCCUAUUGCAAGCGUCCGCAACUACAAAAAGGAGUAUUAAGGUAAACCUAACCACAACAUUAAACAUAUGGGUCCAUAUGAACCCCUAACGAAGCAAUUCAUAAACUAGGGUUUAAGAUUCUGUCACUCUAGCAACUCAUCAUCUACUUAUUACUUCCCUAUGCCUUCCUCUAGGCCCAAAUAAUGGUGAAGUGUCAUGUAGUCGAUGUUCACAUAACACAACUAGAGGAGAGACAACAUACAUCUCAUCAAAAUAUCAAACGCAUACCAAAUUCACAUGACUACUAAUAGCAAGACUUCACCCAUGUCCUCAGGAACUAAAGUAACUACUCACAAAGCAUAAUCAUGUUCAUAAUCAGAUGUGUAAUAAUAUGCAUUAAGGAUCUGAACAUAUAAUCUUCCACCAAGUAAACCAAUAAGUAUCAACUACAAGGAGUAAUCAACACUACUAGCAACCCACAGGUACCAAUUUGUGGUUUUGGAUACAAGAUUGGAUACAAGAGAUCAACUAGGGUUUGAGAGGAGAUGGUGCUGGUGAAGAUGUUGAUGAAUAUUGACCCCCUCCCGAUGAGAGGAUCAUUGGUGAUGACGUUGGUGAUGAAUUCCCCCUCCCGGAGGGAAGUGUCCCCGGCAGAACAGCUCCACCAGAGCCCUAGAUUGAUUCCGCCAAGGUUCCGCCUCGUGGCGGCGGAGUUUCAUCCUGUAAGCUUGCCCACAAUUUUUCCAGGACAAAACCCUUCAUAUAGCAGAAGAUGGUCGCCGGAGGCCCACCAGGGGGCCCAGGAGAUAGGGGGCGUGCCCUAUGGGGGGGCGCCCCCUGCCUCCUGGCAGGGUGUGGGCCCCCUGGCCUAUUUCUUUUGCUCAUAAUUCCUUAAUAAAUCCAAAAAGUGGUUUCGUGGAGUUUCAAGACUUUUGGAGUUGUGCAGAAUAGGUUUCCAACGUUUGCUCCUUUUUCAGCCAGAAUUCCAGCUGCCGGCAUUCUCCCUCUUCAUGGUAAACCUUGUAAAAUAAGAGAGAAUAGCCAUAAGUAUUGAGAUAUAAUGUGUAAUAACAGCCCAUAAUGCAAUAAAUAUUGAUAUAAAAGCAUGAUGCAAAAUGGACGUAUCAACUCCCCCAAGCUUAGACCUCGCUUGUCCUCAAGCAGAAGCCAAGAUCGAGAAAUAUGACCACAUGUUUAGAGAUAGAGGUGUCGAUAAAAAUAAAAUACGGACAUGAGGGCAUCAUGAUCAUUCUAAUAACAACAACAUAUAUAUAGAUUUUGUCAUAUGAUUUCCUAUGUUCAAGUAAUAAGCAAUUCACAAUGUCAAGUAUGGGUCAUAAACUUCAUUGGGAACUAACAGACUAUAAUCUCAGUCAUUGAAGCAAUUACAAUUUAUCGUAACAUCAGAAAGAGUCAAUAAUAGAGCUUUUCAGCAGGAUCACAUACUCAACUAUCUCGUAGUCCCCCAUAAUUGUUAACACUCACUCAAUUCUUGUGGUUAUAGAGUUUCAGCCGGACACUAAGAAAGAUAGGGGCUUAUUAUGUUGCCUCCCAACAUAUUCACCUUUAGGUGAUGUCAACAAUAAUAGCCUAUGCCAACUUACAUUCAAUUUGAUAUAUGUAUCAUGACCUUUCAAACACGAGAAGCUUGCCAAAGGAUAAAAUGAAAAAGUGGAAGGGUGAGGAUCACCUUGACUCAAGCAUAAAGUAAAAACAUAAAGUAGAAGAUAGGCCCUUCGCAGAGGGAAGCAGAGGUUGUCAUGCACUUUUAGGGUUGGAUACACAAAAUCUUAAUGCAAAAGAACGUCACUUUGUAUUGCCCCUUGUAUGUGGACCUUUAUUAUGUACUCUGUCGCUUUUAUUACUUCCACAACAAGUUCGUACAAAGCUUAUUUUCUCUGCAUUAAUAAGUCAUGCAUAUUUAGAGAGCAAUUUUUAUUGCUUGCACCAAUGACAGCUUACUUGAAGGAUCUUACUCAAUCCAUAGAUAGGUAUGGUGGACUCUCAUGGCAAAACUGGGUUUAAGGGAGUCUGGAAGCACAAGUAGUAUCUCUACUUGGUGCAAGGAGUUUUGGCUAGCAUGAGGGGCAAAGGCAAGCUCAACAUGUUCAGAAGGUCACUGACAAUAUACUUUAACUGAGAUGUCGGAAAACAUAAACCAUUACGUUGUCUUCCUUGUCCAACAUCAAUUCUUUUAGCAUGUCAUACUUAAUGAGUGCUUCACAAUCAUAAAAGAUGUCCAAGAUAAUAUAUUUAUAUGUGAACCCCUCUUUCCUUAUCACUUCCUAUUAAUUGCAACGAUGACCAAGGCUAUGUUCAUCAACUCUCAACAAUUUUUAUGCCUCAUACUUUCUAUGUGUGAAGUUAUCACUAUCCAUAAGAUCAAUAUGAACUCUUUUGUUCUUUCUACUUUCUCAAGAUCAUAGCAACAUAGCAAAGCCCUUGACUCAACACUAAUCUUUAUUAUAGAUAGCACACGGACUCGCUUACAAAAAGAGAUCACAACGAAAACUCAAAACUACUUGAUAUCAAAACUUUGAACUAAUAGAUCAAGAUACUACUAAAAGGAUCGAACUAAAUAAAGCGGUAAAGAUAGGAGUGUGAUGGUGAUACGAUACCGUGGCACCUCCCCCAAGCUUGGCAGUUUCCAAGGAGGAUGCCCAUACCCAUGUGAUUAUUUCUUCUGUGGUGAUGGAGGUGGUGAUGAUGAUGGUGGAUAAUCGCACAUUGAGCGUAAAAGCUCCUCCAACUUGCGGAUAAUGCCCUUGAGCCCAGCAAUAUGAUCUUUCAACAAAAUAUUCUCCUGUGUGAGAUACUUGUUUUGUAUGCGGGCUAACUCAAUCAUCUAGAAAGCCUCAAUCUCUGUUGGAGUGAAAAGGUUAGGUAAAGGGCUAGGGAUGUCUUCUUCUUUCACCACCGGAGCGUGAACCUCCAUGGCCUUCUUGAUCCCUUCAUCCUUGUUGAUCUCUUCUGGUUCCUCUCUUUUCAACUCUAUCUUCAAUAGCCAGGCAUCCUUGUCUUUGUUGUUGUAGGAGGGAGAAGUCAUGGUGCUCUAAAUCUGCAAUAGGAACAGCUCGAAACGAAAACAGAGGAUAUUUGCGUGAUACGGUGGCCAAAACCUUCGGGAGUAUAUAUAAUGAAUUUUUACCGACCAAAAUACGUGACAUACAAGAAAACGGAGUCCAGGAGGCACAUGAGGUGCCCACGAGACAGGGGGGCGCGCCCUCCUCUCUCGUGGGAGCCUUGUGUCCCUUUCGGACUACUUCUUUCUUCCUAAAAUUCUUAAAUAAUCCAAAACUGAUGAAAAUUACCAUUAGAGUUGUUUUGGAGUCGGUAAACUUACCGUACCACGUACCUAUGCCUUUUCGGAGUCUGGAACGUUCUGGAAAGUGUCUCUUAUGUACUCCUCUGGGUUAUGGUUUUAAUAAUAUUAGUUUCAACAUUGAUAGGGUUACCUAAAAUAUAAUGCUUGAUUCUUUGACCCAUUAACCACCCUAGGAUUUGUGCCUUCAAAGUUGUUAAAUUUUAUAGCACCGGAACGGUAGACCUCCUCGAUAACGUAGGGACCUUCCCAUUUUGAGAGAAGUUUUCCUGCAAAAAAUCUUAAACGAGAGUUGAAUAAUAACACAUAAUCUCCUACAUUAAACUCAGGCUUUGGUUUCUCCUCUGCAAAGAGCUUAGUAGAGCUAACAUGCCAUGUCAUUGAGAAUACAACGUCACUUGAGGGCCUGACAUUGGACACCACAACAGGACAUCCUUCGUAUAGCUGUUUAACUCAACAAUAUUGGAAAGUGCAUGCUGUUAGACGGGGAUUUUAUGGUGGAAGUUCGUAAAGGGCUCUUGGCUAUCAGGACAUAUGUUGAGCCAAAAGUUCCUUCCAGAGUCAAGCUAAAUGUUGUGGAGCCUUGCCGCCGAUGCCAUGAUCAACCACUGAUCAUAUGUUGAACUUCAUAUGCAAGUUAUCAUAAGUACCCUAUGAUUCCUGUGUAAGUUAAACCAGAACGUCGAGGAACCUUGCUGCUGCUGCUACCCGGGUUAUACACCCCAAACCCAAUGUUUAACGUGUAACUAGUAGGCUCGUGUGUUGCCAUGUAAGUGGACCUCCUGCCACUGCAAUGUUUCUAGGUGUAGGUGCAAGCAAAGUACUAUAACUGUAAUGGACAGAAAAUUGUUGAUCCGUAAAAGAUGUACUCCCAGUAUCCAGUAGAGCCACUGCUCCUUUUCCAUUGAGAUAGAUGACCACAGUGGGUGUGGAAGGGGAGCACCACUGAUGGCUUGGGCAGAAAUGAACAUCACAUUUUCUGUGUUGUUCCCUGUAUUUCAGGUUCUUCAGUGUCAGUUUGCUGUUGGCCAGUAUGAUCUUCCUGCAUGAUAUGAAUAUUUGGUACUAAUUUGCUCUAGUGGCUUUGAACCCAUUUAUCACAACAUCUCCAACAUUCUCCCACUUUUCUAGUUUUAUGAAACUUAACAUUUGGCAGCUCUAAUUGUUUCGAAGGUUGUUGUUGUUGGACAGGCAUAUGAACAUGAACAUAUCUCUGAGGCACAACAUUGUUUGGUUUCUUAUAGAAGUUUGUGCAAGGGACACGGGUCUUUUGUGAUGGAUUUCAUGAACCGAUCUUUCAUUUCCUGUUCAUAUGCUUUCAAAUAUCUCGGCCAUAACUGCCUCUGUCGGUGUUGAUUGAACUGGCUAAAUGCUGGAGUAUAAGCUUGUGCUG
This 26177-nucleotide long non-coding RNA is filed under the name Triticum aestivum (bread wheat). RNAcentral's name for it is "long non-coding RNA (TAES_LNC007526)". The record is from RNAcentral. Lineage: Eukaryota; Viridiplantae; Streptophyta; Magnoliopsida; Poales; Poaceae.